AGCAGCUCGUCCCCGCCUGCCCCUGCCCAGGUUUUCUCUUCAACAUACGCCCCGCAAGCACCUUGGGGUGAGGCAGGGGGUGGCCAGCCCCAUCCUCGGGAAGCACACGCUCGGCCCUCCGAGAGAAAUAAAGGCGAGGAUAGGAGUGGACGAGGGAUGGGGCAGGCAGAUGGCAGCAUGGGAGAGAAGCCUGGAGGCGCCCGGGCCAGCAGGGCAUCGAGGAUAUAUCCCACGGUGCCCGCAGGCUGGGGGUACCCCCGAGCGCAGAAAAAAAUCCGAGACAGCUAGCUGAGCUCCAACCCGGGAAUUCAGAGUCCUCAGCAGGAGGCAGGACAAGGCCACAGGCUGAGGAGGUGGCAUGACACAUGCCAAGAGUGGGGGCAAAGGAGGAGGACAGCUCUGGGCAGGGAGGGGCCCUGGCUUGUGGCAGCAGGCACAGGAACUAGCCAGACAUGUGGGCAGGGGUCUCCCUGUCCUCUCCAGGCCCUAACGGGUAGCUGAGAACCAGCAACACAACUGCCCCGGCCUGACCUCGUUCACUGAGCAGACUCCGUGCAGGGCCUGCGCUGCCCGGGCCCCACGCCAGGCGAGCUAGAGCCCAGAGGCAUCUGCAGUGACGCUGGCCUCACCGGCUGCCCGGGCACAGGAGGAGACGACAGACAGGGAAGCCCAGCAACGCGGGAGGAUAAGCAGGGUGACACCUGAGGGAUGCGCUCCGAGCUGUGGGCCAGAAGCAGCAUAGAUGGGCAGGGCAGUGAGGACCCUUGCCAGGAACUCCCGGACCCCUCACGGCCUGCUGUGGAGACACCAGCUUCAGGGUCCUGCAAGCAAGGAUGGCCGGCUCCCAAACUUUGCGAUCUGUGAGCUGGAAACUUCGACGACCCUAGUACUUCAAAGGGCGGCAAGCUGGCCGCGUGACUUGACACGGCUGGGCCCCACCCGCGUUUCCCUCCCCGUGGCCAAGUGGCUUUGGGAGCUGGCCCAGCGCUGA
This 991-nucleotide long non-coding RNA is filed under the name Sus scrofa (pig). RNAcentral describes it as "lncRNA (ENSSSCG00015020752.1)". The record is from RNAcentral. Lineage: Eukaryota; Metazoa; Chordata; Mammalia; Artiodactyla; Suidae.